This 468-nucleotide ribosomal RNA is filed under the name uncultured bacterium. RNAcentral's name for it is "partial 16S ribosomal RNA". It matches the Rfam family "Bacterial small subunit ribosomal RNA", at positions 28 to 507 of the family's 1533-position model. The record is from RNAcentral.
GACGAACGCUGGCGGCGUGCUUAACACAUGCAAGUCGAACGGAAAGGCCCUGCUUUUGUGGGGUGCCCGAUGGGCGAAGGGGGGAGUAACACGUGAGUAACCUGCCCUAGACUUUGGGAUAAGUUAAGGAAACUGGGCUUAAUACAGUAUAGGAGCCCCCCUUCCGUGGUGGGGGUUGGAAAGUUUCGGCGGUUGGGGAUGGACUCGCGGCUUAUCAGCUUGUUGGUGGGGUAGUGGCUGACCAAGGCUUUGACGGGUAGCCGGCCUGAGAGGGUGACCGGCCACAUUGGGACUACGGUACGGCCCAGACUCCUACGGGAGGCAGCAGUGGGGAAUAUUGCACAAUGGGCGGAAGCCUGAUGCAGAAGCGCCGCGUGCGGGAUGACGGCCUUCGGGUUGUAAACCGCUUUCGCCUGUGACGAAGCGUGAGUGACGGUAAUGGGUAAAGAAGCACCGGCUAACUACGUG